RNAcentral lists this unclassified non-coding RNA (387 nucleotides) under soil metagenome. RNAcentral's name for it is "partial contains 5.8S ribosomal RNA, internal transcribed spacer 2, and large subunit ribosomal RNA". The stretch from base 1 to 120 matches the Rfam family "5.8S ribosomal RNA", at positions 35 to 154 of the family's 154-position model. The record is from RNAcentral.
GAUGAAGAACGUAGCGAAAUGCGAUAAGUAAUGUGAAUUGCAGAAUUCAGUGAAUCAUCGAAUCUUUGAACGCACAUUGCGCCCAUUAGUAUUCUAGUGGGCAUGCCUGUUCGAGCGUCAUUAAUUCCACUUAAGCCCUGCUUAGUGUUGGGAAUCUACUCUAGUGGUGCUACCCUGGAGCUACCCCUGAAAGGGGGCUGGCCCGGUAGCUACCCUGUAGUUCCUCAAAGAUAGUGCGCGGAGUUGCGUGGUCCUCUGAGCUUAGUAACUAUACACCUAGCUUUUGAGUGUCCCGUGGCGCCUGCCGUUUAAACCCCAUCUUUUAAUGGUUGACCUCGGAUCAGGUAGGAAUACCCGCUGAACUUAAGCAUAUCAAUAAGCGGAGGA